This 111-nucleotide ribosomal RNA is filed under the name Parabacteroides sp. An277. Lineage: Bacteria; Pseudomonadati; Bacteroidota; Bacteroidia; Bacteroidales; Tannerellaceae. The record is from RNAcentral.
UAAGGUGGUUAUAGCAUGGGGGAUCCACCUCUUCCCAUUCCGAACAGAGAAGUUAAGCCCCGUCACGCCGAUGGUACUGCGUAACAGUGGGAGAGUAGGUAGCCGCCGUUU